GAUGAACGCUGGCUACAGGCUUAACACAUGCAAGUCGAGGGGAAACGCCGGGGAAGCUUGCUUCCCCGGGCGUCGACCGGCGCACGGGUGAGUAACGCGUAUCCAACCUGCCUCUGACUGAGGGAUAACCCGUCGAAAGUCGGCCUAAUACCUCAUGGCAUCGUCUGCGGGCAUCCAACGACGAUUAAAGAUUUCAUCGGUCAGGGAUGGGGAUGCGUCUGAUUAGCUUGUUGGCGGGGGAACGGCCCACCAAGGCUACGAUCAGUAGGGGUUCGGAGAGGAAGGUCCCCCACAAUGGAACUGCGACACGGUCCAAACUCCUACGGGAGGCAGCAGUGAGGAAUAUUGGGCGAUGGGCGGGAGCCUGAACCAGCCAAGUAGCGUGCAGGAUGACGGCCCUAUGGAUUGUAAACUGCUUUUAUGCGGGGAUAAAGUGAGGGACGUGUCCUUCAUUGCAGGUACCGAAUGAAUAAGGACCGGCUAAUUCCGUG
This 491-nucleotide ribosomal RNA is filed under the name uncultured bacterium. RNAcentral's name for it is "partial 16S ribosomal RNA". It matches the Rfam family "Bacterial small subunit ribosomal RNA", at positions 28 to 507 of the family's 1533-position model. The record is from RNAcentral.